AUCACCCUGCAGUGCUUUUCUCUUCUCCCCCUCCCCGUGCCCAGUCCCACACCUGAUGUCUCUGUCCCUCCCCAGUCCUACCGCCCUUAGUGUUAUCAGUGCAGCCUUGGUGCAGGGGAUGAGCCAACAUUUCUGCCACUUUCCUAGAUGGAGUAAUGGGCCCUGGCUCCCUUGGUCUCAUCCAGAGCUGGACAUGUAUCCACGUUACAAAGGCACUGAUAUCUGGAUUCCCAUUGGGCUCAAACCAAAUGGUCUCCAAGAGCUGCUCAUCUCCUCUUGUAGGCUGGGCCCAUUUCCAAGGACCUAAUUUAAAAGAGGCUGCAGUUCAGCGGCAGGAGGGAUUUAAACACUGUUAAGACUGACAUUUUCCCUCAUCUCACAUCCCGUGGGGUACCUGAUUGCAAAUUUAUAAUACACCAGAGGUCUCGCCAUCAGAAGAUACAGACUUACAGUAACAGCAACUAAUUUAAAAAAGAUCUCCAGUGCAUCAGUGUCUGGGGCUGGUUUACACCGACUAAUUAAUCCUUAUUUGACCUGAAUUAACUCUUAAUCUGUGUGAAAUGAAAGAGCUUUGCUGGGAUACAGCAAAUUUUAGAAGAUGGAAAAUCUGUUCAGAGCAGGAGGCUUCUGCAGCCGAGUGACUCGUGGAUUAAAACGCUUCUGGAUGCUGCUUGGGG
RNAcentral lists this long non-coding RNA (677 nucleotides) under Gallus gallus (chicken). RNAcentral describes it as "long non-coding RNA NONGGAT003386". The record is from RNAcentral. Lineage: Eukaryota; Metazoa; Chordata; Aves; Galliformes; Phasianidae.